Hevea brasiliensis (rubber tree) is the source of this 1588-nucleotide long non-coding RNA. RefSeq lists it as uncharacterized. NCBI's taxonomy places the organism in Eukaryota, Viridiplantae, Streptophyta, Magnoliopsida, Malpighiales, Euphorbiaceae. The record is from RefSeq and is a predicted model, not a curated record. The transcript has 4 exons.
GCCUAACAAGCUAAACCCACACCAAUCGCCUAACCCAGAUCUCACUCACCUCUCACCUUACUCCGAUCGCCCAACCCUCAAGCUCUCUCCCUCAGUCUUGGCUCUCAUUCAACCUCUCUAUUUGUACUGAUAUACAAAACUAUUAUAAUUUGUUUAUGCACCAAUGCCUCAUACAAAGGAAGAGCUUGAAAGACAUUUGAUGAAUGCUUUUACCUAAUAGAAUAUAGAGACAAAAAUUUCUACAAUCAUAGUAGAUAACUGCCCUACAAAUGAUGGUAUGAUCUCUAUAGUUCUUGAAAAAUUGUAUGGUGAUCUUUUAUGUGAUAGGGCCAUAUUGCAUAUGAGGUGUUGUGCUCAAUUUUUUGAAUCUUAUUGUGAAGGAUGGGUUGUCUACUAUUGAGCAUUCACUUGGAAGAAUUAGAGACAGUAUAGCAUUUUGGUCAGCCACUCUUCAAAGAGCUGAAAAUUUUGAGGAAGUCGCCAAACAAUUGAAUCUUACCUAUGAGAAAAAGUUAAGUUUAGACUGUAAAACUUGUUGGAACUCAACAUAUCUGAUGCUUCAAACAGCAAUUCAGUACAAGGAUGUCUUUCCUAGAUUAAGGAUUAGGGAAAAAUAUUAUACUAAUGUACUUAGUGAGCUUGAUUGGGAACUGGCAAAUAAGGUUACAAAAAAAUUACAAAAUUUUUAUACCAUCACUCAAUUGUUUUUUGGGAGAAAAUUUUCAACAGCCAAUUGUUUCUUUGUUUCAAUUUGUCAAUUGAGAAAUAAAAUGGUGGAAUAGAUGAAUUUUGAUGAUGAGAUUAUGAAGGCCAUGUCUAGUAAAAUGUUUGAGAAGUUUGAGAAAUAUUGGAGUUUGGUUCAUAUUGUUGUAGCUGUAGCUAUAACUGUGAUAUUGGAUCCUCGAUGUAAGAUGAAAGUGAUAAAAUAUUAUUUUCUUUUCCUAUGAUUAAUGGUGAGAAUGCAUGGAGUGAGAUUGAGCAAGAUAAGACAACUUGUUAUAAUUUGCUCACUGAUUACCAAUCUAAAGUCAAGCCUAAAUCUCAUGGUGUCUCUUCAGUUCUGUCUGCUUAAGUGACAGAAACCAAAGAUUUGAAUAAUCUAGUUGCCUUUCUUAGCUCUUUCUCUAGCAAUGUUCAUGUGAAAUCUGAAUUAAAUCAUUAUCUUUAGGAGCCUGUUUUGCCUUAGAUGCAAGAUUUUGAUAUUCUUACUCGGUGGAAGGCAAAUGGGAUAAAAUAUCCUACAUUACAGCAGAUUGCUCAAGAUUUCUUAGCCAUGCCAAUGUCUACAGUUGCAUUUGAGUCUGCUUUUAGUACUGGUGGUAGAGUUGUUAGUAUUCAUCGAAGUAGGCUAUAUAAGGAUACUUUAGAAGCAUUGAUGUGCUCACAAAAUUGGUUAUGGGCUGAAAUCGAAGCUUUUUGUUCAACUGAGGAAGCAAGUUGCUUAUGUGAUGUCGAGGAAGAUGUGGAUUGAAGCAUGUAUUUUACAAUUUCAAUAUGUGUAUUGAAGGAAUUUUAAUCAAGCCUCGAGAUUUUGAAGCUCCAAGAUUGUGUUUCUAUGAGUUGUAUGAGUUGUUUUAGAAGUGUUGUA